This 85-nucleotide transfer RNA is filed under the name Clostridiales bacterium. RNAcentral describes it as "tRNA-Leu". It matches the Rfam family "tRNA". Rfam says of the family: Transfer RNA (tRNA) molecules are approximately 80 nucleotides in length. Their secondary structure includes four short double-helical elements and three loops (D, anti-codon, and T loops). Lineage: Bacteria; Bacillati; Bacillota; Clostridia; Eubacteriales. The record is from RNAcentral.
GCGGGCGUGGCGGAAUGGCAGACGCGCUAGACUUAGGAUCUAGUGGGCGAUUCCCGUGGGAGUUCGAAUCUCCCCGCCCGCACCA